Molecule: RNA transcript, 2024 nt
Organism: Tupaia belangeri chinensis (Chinese tree shrew)
Lineage: Eukaryota; Metazoa; Chordata; Mammalia; Scandentia; Tupaiidae
Gene name: histidine triad nucleotide-binding protein 2, mitochondrial
Exons: 9
Source: RefSeq, a predicted model, not a curated record
CACCAAGGAGAACAGACUGCUGUUGCCAUGGAGACCGUUGGGCGUUCCAGUUGCCCGGGUGACCGAUCGUCCUCUCCCGGAGUUCCAGAGGCUUCAGUCAAGCCCCUCCCUCGUCGGCCCUGGACCGCCCUGCCCCUACCCCUUCCUGCCCUUCCCCAAGUCAGACCAUAACUCCUUCCCGUAGUUGUGCAGAUGUCCAAGUCCCCUCCCCACACACUAGACUUUCAGGCAAGGCCAUUCACCAUCAGCGCCUGCAGCCGGGGCUCAUUCACAAUCAAGAACCUCCCCUCCCUCAGGACCAACGCUUCCUAUCCUGAGGCCAGAUCCUGACCUAACGACUCGUGACAACCAAGCUAAAGCCCAGAGAUGGAAACAGAUGAGAUCACAGAAGAACCUCAAACCACCAUGGAUGCAGAGGAGCACCUCUCUUCAAAGGACCCCUCUGCUGAAGACUUACAGGAGCCCCCUGUCACUGAAACCCUCUUGGAGCCUACUAUUUCUGAGACCUCUUUAGAUUCCCAUACCACUGAAGAUCUUUUUGUGCCAUCUGCUUCCCAGCCUCCUUUAGAGAUCCAUACCUCUGAAAGCCUUUUGGAGCCUUCCACCUCUGAGACCCCUGUAGAGCCCCAUACCUCUGACUCUCCUUUGGUUCCAUCCACUUCCCAGACCCCUGUAGACCCCCAUACCUCUAAAUCUCCUUUUGUGUCAACCACUUCCCAGACCCCGUUAGAGACCCACACUUCUGAAAGCCUUGUGGAGCCUUCCAUCGCUAGGACUCCUUCAGAACACUCCAAGUCUGAGAUCUCUUUGGAGAACCCUACCUCUAAGACCAUGUUGGAGACUCACAUCUCUAAUACCCCUGAGAAACAUCUUUCUUUUUCUCCCUCAUCAGUAGUCCCUAUGUCUUUUUCUGAUGCUUUGAAAGAAGACUUUGCCUCUGAAUCUUCCACUGUGUUCCCAUGGACAACAAGGUUCACCCAGCUCCCUGAAUCUGAGAGGCUUCCAAAGCACUCCCUCCCAGGCCCUUCAGUCCAGGUCCUUAUGGACACAUCUUCAAAGCAGAAGGAAGAGUCAGGAGAGGACAAGAAGGAGGGCAUGGAUACCAGUGAUGGCACUGCUCACACAGCCCAGCCUGGACACCAGCUGAGCAAGAAGAAGGGAAAGAAAGGUUACACAGUCCACCCAGUGGUCCCUGCUAAACAGGCAGAGCUGGUGGAAGUGGCUAAGGCAAUGCACAGAGAACAGUUUGGUGCCCAGGUGAAAAAUCUUUUCCAAUGGGAGACGGAUGCAGCUCUGAAUGCCAUCCAGACUGGUCUCUACAUUGGCUGGCGUUGCCCCCAUUACCUUUGGGACUGUUUCCGGAUUGGGGAUGAGUCCAAGUGCUUUUGUGGACACUUGUUAAGAGAGCACCAGAUCAUCUCAGACAUAUCGGUGCCCUGCCACGUGUCCCAGUGCCGUUGCCUCAUGUUCUGCUUUAUCCCGUCACGCCCAGAGGAGGUAGGUGAGUUCUGGCUCAGGAGACGGGCCACCUUCGACCCCAAGGCCUGGAGGGCCCAGUGUCGCUGCAAACACAGCCAUGAAGAUCAUUCAGCCACCGGGUGCCAUCCCUGCAGACAUCGCGGCUGUUGCUGCAGCUCUUUUGAAUCUAACUUCCUCUGUGCGGCCUGUGACCGGCGCUGGGAGGAACACGAGACUUUCUUUGAGACCAGGGAGACCCGGCGACGAGGAGGGAGGCCUUACGGUUCGAGGAGCUGCAAGUGUGACUGAUGGGAAUGAAGUAGCCAAGGCCCAGAAGGCAGCUCCUGGGGGAGCAGCCCCAACCGUCUUCUCCCGGAUCCUGGACCGAAGCCUCCCAGCUGACAUUCUAUAUGAGGACCAGCAGCUUCUAGGACACCUACUCCUUGUGGCCAAGAAGACAGCAAAGGCUGAGGGCCUAGGUGAUGGAUACCGACUUGUGAUCAACGAUGGGAAGCUGGGCGCACAAUCUGUGUAUCACCUGCACAUCCACGUACUUGGGGGCCGAC